Molecule: long non-coding RNA, 567 nt
Organism: Oreochromis niloticus (Nile tilapia)
Lineage: Eukaryota; Metazoa; Chordata; Actinopteri; Cichliformes; Cichlidae
Exons: 2
Source: RefSeq, a predicted model, not a curated record
GCGAGUACAUACUCACGUACUUGAGAAUUGAGAAACGGCAACUGACUCCUGUUAUUGAGCACUUCAGACCUUACUAUGAGGCUUACUUCUGGUUCCUCGUGAUAAAGGUCAUUCAUGUGGUCAGAGUGUGAAAGCAACUCAUGUAACACUGCCUAACAGAACCACAGACUGUCCAGGAGCCCACUGAUGUCCUGAUCCAGGUCUGGAAGGAUAUCCCCUAUGACACUAUCCACCGUCUCAUCAGGGAGCAUGCCCAGAAGUCGUAGGAACGUAAGAGGUCACAUCGAUUAGUUAUACACACAUUAGACUUCAUCACCUGUGAGACCUGAGCAGCCUGCACACAUCUGCAAUUAGAUACCAGAAGAAGCUGCUGCUGAUCCAGAGCAACAAACCGACCAAAGAUGCUGAAGCACAUCUCCACCGGCCCACACACAGGUGUUACAACAGCAUCCAGCAGGUGGUCGUAUCUUGAGCACCUCUCUUUACAUCCUAUACAGUGCCACUAAUGAUUGUCAUUAGAAACUCUGUGCACUCUCUGGUCACUGCUUUAAAAGUGAAAAAUGUAAA